UCUUCUUCUUGGCCUUUUGGCUAAGAUCACGUGUACUAUCUGUUCUUACCAGUCUUUGAAGAUAUCCAUCCUAUAUAAGCCAUGACAUAAACAUCUUGGCUUAGUUUUCAUAUUUUUUGAUUAUAU
Molecule: small nuclear RNA, 126 nt
Organism: Anolis carolinensis (green anole)
Lineage: Eukaryota; Metazoa; Chordata; Lepidosauria; Squamata; Anolidae
Gene: U2
Rfam family: U2 spliceosomal RNA
About the family: U2 is a small nuclear RNA (snRNA) component of the spliceosome (involved in pre-mRNA splicing). Complementary binding between U2 snRNA (in an area lying towards the 5' end but 3' to hairpin I) and the branchpoint sequence (BPS) of the intron results the bulging out of an unpaired adenosine, on the BPS, which initiates a nucleophilic attack at the intronic 5' splice site, thus starting the first of two transesterification reactions that mediate splicing.
Source: Ensembl